AGCUCCAAUAGCGUAUAUUAAAGUUGUUGCAGUUAAAAAGCUCGUAGUUGGAUUUGUGGUUGACUCUGGUCGCCUGACAUUCGUGUCGGUGUGGACCGGUGUCGCCAUCCUUGGGUGGAAUCUGUGUGGCAUUAGGUUGUCGUGCAGGGGAUGCUCAUCUUUUACUGUGAAAAAAUUAGAGUGUUCAAAGCAGGCUUACGCCGUUGAAUAUAUUAGCAUGGAAUAAUAAGAUAGGACCUCGGUACUAUUUUGUUGGUUUGCGCACUGAGGUAAUGAUUAAUAGGGACAGUUGGGGGUAUUCGUAUUCCAUUGUCAGAGGUGAAAUUCUUGGAUUUUUGGAAGACGAACUACUGCGAAAGCAUUUACCAAGGAUGUUUUCAUUAAUCAAGAACGAAAGUAC
This 400-nucleotide ribosomal RNA is filed under the name phytoplankton environmental sample. RNAcentral describes it as "partial small subunit ribosomal RNA". It matches the Rfam family "Eukaryotic small subunit ribosomal RNA", at positions 587 to 992 of the family's 1831-position model. The record is from RNAcentral.